UUCGAAAUUGCCGACUCUACUCCAAAGAUACACUGAAAGAGGAAAUCCAAGUUGGGAUGGGACCAGCCGACAAAUUUCGCUACCUAUCAUACCCAGAGCAAAAUGGUACAUGAAAAAUUCAAGGAAUUAGUGUUUUUCAAUGUUAUGACAAGCAAUUUAUUCUUCCCUCUUGUGUACGUCCCAAUCAUUUGCCAUCCUCGCAAAAUCAUCUUCUUCUUCAAAAUUGUCGACUCUACUCUAAAGGUACAUUGAAAGAAGUAUAGGUUGGUUCGUUUCAACAAAAAAAAUUAUUCUCUUUGUCUGUUUCUAAUUUUGGUGUCAUGUUCACCUCAUUUUUUUCUACUUAGUUUCUAAAUAAUUUUUUCCUCUUUUAAUUCCUCUAAUCCCUAAUUUUUUUAAUGACUUCCCAGUCAUUCGCCAUCCUCACAAAAUCAUCUUAUUCUUCGA
Non-coding RNA from Cicer arietinum (chickpea), 447 nucleotides. NCBI's taxonomy places the organism in Eukaryota, Viridiplantae, Streptophyta, Magnoliopsida, Fabales, Fabaceae. The record is from RefSeq and is a predicted model, not a curated record.